UGGGGCAGCUCACUACUGGAAACAGCAGUGGGAAACCCAGUAUUAAGGUUACUUUCGUCACUGGUGCUUUUCCCAGUGUUGCUGGCAGCAGGUGUUGCUGGCACCUAUUGAGACAAAUCCCUUCCCAGGCUGCUUCCUGGAUUAAUGUGAUCCCAUUCUUGAACACAACACUAAACUCUCUGAAAGGAGUGAGUGUCUCUGUUGGAAAGACACAGUCCUUCUCAUGCUUCUGUGGGAACAUUUCCAUGACUAAGUGUUAACAGAUUAGGUUGAUGGUUAUUCUAAUAUCUUCCCCCAAAUAUCUGUUCUUUUCCCUUCCCAUAGAAGAAUGAUAUUGUAAGACUCAAGGUCUUUCUCCUGAAAUAGAAAAUUCCAAGAGAUCUGACUGAGUAUACCAAACUACAUGUACUUUAUACGCAGCUCCCUGGCUAUGCUUCCCUUCAGCUUGCCAUACACUUCUAAAAGUUUCUAGUCUGUGGCAUACACAGUUCCUAUUGAAAACAAUGGAUGGAUAAAGAUGCAGUCUGCACACCCAGAACAGAUAUUUCCUUCUCUGUUUUCUGCCCCGGAGUGAUGCAUCUUAACACAAAGAAUCUCCUCAUGUCUGUGGCAUUUCAUACUGAUUUCUUAAUAAUGACAAGAGCUGUUGAUAAAUAAAUCCUCUCUGGUUAGCCGCAGUAAGAGGCAUGUUUUGUUUGGCAUUGUUCUGGGGAUCAUAGAGCCCCAGAGAGGGUUUAGGAGAGCAGUGCAUAUCCUUCAUAACAAAGGUUGAUGUUGUGUAAGCUACAUGUCCUGCCUCCAGAAGCAUCAUCAUAAAGAACUGAGUGAAACUUUUCUCCAAAAUAAGUAGUUCCAGGUGGUGAGCCUUGUCAAGCACAAAGCCAGCACUCCGAGGCAGCUCAGUUACGUCACUGACAUAUCUUUCAUGGCUCAACAUGCAGGUCAGAAAACACAGUUCCAUAACUUUUUCUUUUUUGUUCUUUGGUUGGUUGGUUUGUUUGUUUUCUGAGUGGCAACUUAUGACCAACUAUUCUGGCUGCUAUAUAUUACCUGCAACAUUUUGAAUAGUGCAGUAUAAGCCCAAAUUCUUUUCUGAAUCCUGAUGUGUAUGUAUUGCAAUAUCAAUUAACUCCAUGUUUUUUAAAGAAAUUAAGUGUACAUCAUUGGGAAUUUACAGUAUAUGA
Pezoporus flaviventris is the source of this 1184-nucleotide long non-coding RNA. RefSeq lists it as uncharacterized. The record is from RefSeq and is a predicted model, not a curated record. The transcript has 2 exons. NCBI's taxonomy places the organism in Eukaryota, Metazoa, Chordata, Aves, Psittaciformes, Psittacidae.